AAAUAGUUAGUUUAAAAAAAACAUUUGAUUUCGACUCAGAAGCUUGUGGUUAAACUCCACAACCAUUUA
Molecule: transfer RNA, 69 nt
Filed under: Cynoglossus trigrammus
Lineage: Eukaryota; Metazoa; Chordata; Actinopteri; Pleuronectiformes; Cynoglossidae
Description: tRNA-Arg
Rfam family: tRNA
About the family: Transfer RNA (tRNA) molecules are approximately 80 nucleotides in length. Their secondary structure includes four short double-helical elements and three loops (D, anti-codon, and T loops).
Source: RNAcentral